UGGGGAAUCUUGCACAAUGGACGAAAGUCUGAUGCAGCAACGCCGCGUGAGUGAUGAAGGUCUUUGGAUUGUAAAGCUCUUUAGAUUGGGAAGAAGUGACAUGGAGUUAAUACCUCUAUGUUUUGACGGUACCAAUAAAAUAAGCACUGGCUAAUUCCGUGCCAGCAGCCGCGGUAAUACGGGAGGUGCAAGCGUUGUUCGGAAUGACUGGGCGUAAAGAGUACGUAGGCGGGUGUGUAAGUCAGAUGUGAAAUCCCUGGGCUCAACCUAGGAAUGGCAUUUGAAACUGCAUGUCUUGAAUGUUUGAGGGGCUAGUGGAAUUCCAGGUGUAGGAGUGAAAUCCGUAGAGAUCUGGAGGAAUAUCAGAGGCGAAGGCGACUGGCUGGCAAAACAUUGACGCUGAGGUACGAAAGCGUGGGGAGCAAACAGG
RNAcentral lists this ribosomal RNA (430 nucleotides) under uncultured bacterium. RNAcentral describes it as "bacterial SSU rRNA". It matches the Rfam family "Bacterial small subunit ribosomal RNA", at positions 355 to 776 of the family's 1533-position model. The record is from RNAcentral.